Molecule: ribosomal RNA, 1064 nt
Filed under: Phytobia sp. Ptb-2
Lineage: Eukaryota; Metazoa; Arthropoda; Insecta; Diptera; Agromyzidae
Description: partial 28S ribosomal RNA
Source: RNAcentral
CGAUUGGUCUUUCGCCCCUAUACUCAAUUCUGACAAUCGAUUUGCACGUCAGAACUGUUUCGGUCUUCCAUCAGGGUUUCCCCUGACUUCAACCUGAUCAAGUAUAGUUCACCAUCUUUCGGGUCACAGCAUAUAUGCUCAAGGUACGCUCUAGUUAGAGGUAUAAAUAAUAUAUAAAAUAUUAUUAUACAUAACUGUAUAGAACGCCCUGGGAUUGUAUUAUUAAAAAUUUACAAUUUUAAAAAUUAAUCCCAUUUUUAAAAAAAUAGUUAUGUUAAUUAUGCUUUUGGGUUUUAUAUAUAUAACCCAAAAACUUGCACAUAUGUUAGACUCCUUGGUCCGUGUUUCAAGACGGGUCCUGAAGGUAUCCUGAAUCUUUCGCAUUGUAAAUCGUAUAAAUGCAUAUAAUAAAAAAAAAAAAAUUUUUUUUUAUUAUAAAAUUUCAAAUAAAUGAAAAUUUUGCACAAUACAUUUGAAUAAAUCUAUUAAUACUUUAUCAAAUCAAAAGUAAUUACUUUAUAUUAAUAAAAUAUAAAUUAAAUUAAUUAAAAUAAACAUAUACAAUUGAUCUUAUGAUAAAUAUAUAAUUUAAUAUAUUAAUAGAUUACAAUGUCCAUUUUUAUAUGGAGAAAAUGCACAAUAUUACAAUAAUAAAAAUCAUUGUCAUAAUGUUGAAUUCUCCAUAUUGGAUAUUCAGGUUCAUCAGGUUUAAUCUCUAAGCAGUUUCACGUACUAUUUAACUCUCUAUUCAGAGUUCUUUUCAACUUUCCCUCACGGUACUUGUUUACUAUCGGUCUCAUGGUUAUAUUUAGUUUUAGAUGGAGUUUACCACCAACUUAGUGCUGCACUAUCAAGCAACACGACUCUUUGGAAAUAUCUUCUAAUAAUCAUUAAUGUUAUACGGGCCUGGCACCCUCUAUGGGUAAAUGGCCUCAUUUAAGAAGGACUUAAAUCAUUAAUUUAUCAUACUAGAUAAAAAUAGAUAUUCCAUACACUGCAUCUCACAAUUACUAUUAAUAGAAAUGUGACUUAGUGCUGAACUUUUUUCUUUUCGUUCGCCACUA